UGGGGAAUAUUGCGCAAUGGGGGAAACCCUGACGCAGCGACGCCGCGUGAGCGAAGAAGGCCUUAGGGUUGUAAAGCUCUGUUGUAAGGGAAGAAUGGCAUCGGGAGUAAUACGCCUGAUGCAUGACGGUACCUUACGAGGAAGCCCCGGCUAACUACGUGCCAGCAGCCGCGGUAAGACGUAGGGGGCGAGCGUUGUCCGGAAUUACUGGGCGUAAAGAGCACGUAGGCGGAUAUUUAAGUCAGUUGUGAAAGACCGCAGCUCAACUGCGGGGUUGCAAAUGAAACUGGGUAUCUUGAGGGCAGGAGAGGGCAGUGGAAUUCCUGGUGUAGCGGUGAAAUGCGUAGAAAUCAGGAGGAACACCAGUGGCGAAGGCGGCUGUCUGGACUGACCCUGACGCUGAGGUGCGAAAGCGUGGGUAGCAAACAGG
Molecule: ribosomal RNA, 430 nt
Filed under: uncultured prokaryote
Also listed under: 1 other name
Description: bacterial SSU rRNA
Rfam family: Bacterial small subunit ribosomal RNA
Source: RNAcentral